Molecule: long non-coding RNA, 463 nt
Filed under: Brassica rapa (field mustard)
Lineage: Eukaryota; Viridiplantae; Streptophyta; Magnoliopsida; Brassicales; Brassicaceae
Description: long non-coding RNA (BRAP_LNC006951)
Source: RNAcentral
UGGCGGUUGAGGCUUGAAAUUUUUAGAUUUUGGUUUUAUUUUCAUUGAAUAAUUUUUUUAUUUCAUGAGAACUUAAUUUUUCGUUUUAUGAUUUCAUUUAUUGGUUUUCUUUCUAUCAAUAACAACGAAUACCUUUCAUUUGACUUUGAAUGAUCAUGUUUGAUGUUUUUUUUUCUUAUUUCUGAAUCGAUUUUACUUAUGUUUUGGUUACAAAAUAUGUACAAAUCAAGUACUUUAAACCCGAAGAACCGAUUUUACUUAUGUUUUGGUUACAAAAUAGGUAUAAAUCAAGUACUUUAAAACCAAAGAACCGGUUGGAACCCAAAACCCGAAAGUAUACCGGGCUGUACCGGUUCUAUGAAGAUUUAUUAACCCCGAUCCGAACCCGAUAAAACUCGAACCGGUCCCGAACAGAAUUUUUAUAUAAUCCGAAUGGGGCUGAUUUUGAUAAACCCGAAAAACC